This is a non-coding RNA of Gossypium arboreum, 72 nucleotides long. The record is from Rfam. Lineage: Eukaryota; Viridiplantae; Streptophyta; Magnoliopsida; Malvales; Malvaceae.
AUUCUUUGUACCUUUCCCAUGCCUCAUAUAAGGACUCAUCAUCCAUUUGUUGGAAAGCAGUAAUCUCAUUCC